Long non-coding RNA from Lutra lutra (Eurasian river otter), 649 nucleotides. RefSeq lists it as uncharacterized. NCBI's taxonomy places the organism in Eukaryota, Metazoa, Chordata, Mammalia, Carnivora, Mustelidae. The record is from RefSeq and is a predicted model, not a curated record. The transcript is spliced from 2 exons.
GUGUGCCCUGAGCUGACUGCACUGAUCAUAACACGGUGACGGCUGCUGCCCUUCCUUGAGAGGCACCCUGACCCCGUGUCCUGAGAGCAAGGUGGCGAUGGUCCUGAUUCCGUGGUCCCACUACAGCUUGGUCUAGGCCAAUGGAUGCUGGUGGCUUUGACAGAAGGGCUGUUGGUCAAGGACAGGCCCCUGGGAAACCAUCCCGGCUCUGGGGCCGCGCGCCCUGGAGGUUGAGAAGAGAAGGAGCCUUUCCUGCCACGGGUUACCGGCGAACGUCUUCAGCACAUCAUCUGCAGGUCCUGCUCCUUGCCUGGCUUGUUAUUGCCCAAAACAAAUGACCUGUAACUUACGUGUCCGACAACCGAGAGAUGGUUACGGAAAGGACAGAACUGUAGUGCGUUAAGUUACUAUCUGAAAUGAUGUUUAUACAGCACUUAUAAUAACAUGAAAAAUUGUUUAUGAUCUAAUAGCAACAGGAAACAAAAUGCUGUGCCAUGUUAUAUGAAGACUAUUACGGCAAAUGCAUUUCUUUAAAAAAUCAGAGAAUUCUAAUAUGAUACCAGAAGAAAGCAGCAAGAAAGCUAUCUUUGGAUGACGAGUUUAAGAUGCUUAUUCUAAACAAUGAAUUCUGGAACACUGAAAAGAAAUU